This 497-nucleotide ribosomal RNA is filed under the name uncultured bacterium. Its description in RNAcentral is "partial 16S ribosomal RNA". It matches the Rfam family "Bacterial small subunit ribosomal RNA", at positions 28 to 507 of the family's 1533-position model. The record is from RNAcentral.
GAUGAACGCUGGCGGCGUGCCUAAUGCAUGCAAGUCGAGCGAACAGACGAGGAGCUUGCUCCUCUGACGUUAGCGGCGGACGGGUGAGUAACACGUGGAUAACCUACCUAUAAGACUGGGAUAACUUCGGGAAACCGGAGCUAAUACCGGAUAAUAUAUUGAACCGCAUGGUUCAAUAGUGAAAGACGGUUUUGCUGUCACUUAUAGAUGGAUCCGCGCCGCAUUAGCUAGUUGGUAAGGUAACGGCUUACCAAGGCGACGAUGCGUAGCCGACCUGAGAGGGUGAUCGGCCACACUGGAACUGAGACACGGUCCAGACUCCUACGGGAGGCAGCAGUAGGGAAUCUUCCGCAAAGGGCGAAAGCCUGACGGAGCAACGCCGCGUGAGUGAUGAAGGUCUUCGGAUCGUAAAACUCUGUUAUUAGGGAAGAACAAAUGUGUAAGUAACUAUGCACGUCUUGACGGUACCUAAUCAGAAAGCCACGGCUAACUACGUG